Long non-coding RNA from Mandrillus leucophaeus (drill), 703 nucleotides. RefSeq lists it as uncharacterized. The transcript is spliced from 3 exons. Lineage: Eukaryota; Metazoa; Chordata; Mammalia; Primates; Cercopithecidae. The record is from RefSeq and is a predicted model, not a curated record.
AGCCAGUAGGAAGAAGAAAAAAGAGAAGAAAAUGACACUGAUAAUCCACAAAGAGGACUAAUAAAAACGGUCUUGCUCUUUCACCCAGGCUGGAGUGCUGGAUGCCGCCAUCACAGCUCACUGCUGCCUUGACCUCGUGGGCUCAAUCAAUCCUCUUGCCUCUGCCGCCAGAGCAGCUGGGACUACAGGCAUGUGCCACCGUGCCUGGCUAAUUUUUUCAACUUUUUUUGGUAGAGAUGUUGCCCAGGCUGGUCUCAAACUAGCAGGUCAAACAAUCCUCUCACCUCAGCCUCCCACCUAAAGUUAUUUUUAAUAAUAUUUAUUAAUGAGUUUUCAGUUACUUAAAAAAACAUAAUGGAAUCUGUCAGGCAUAUUUGUUAAGUAUUUGUUCUGUGUUUGAUCCACAAAUAUUUACUGGGCACCUGAUGUGUACCAGGCACUGUGCUGCUCACUCAGAAGACACCAAGAUGGCCAUGGUCAGCCCCCAGCUGGAGCGGCCCCAGGAGGCGAGCACUGCCUGUGGUACAGCUUCUGCAUGCCCUCCUGCAAGAGGCCACUUACAAAAGUUAUUCCAGAGCAACCCUGCAAAUUCGGUGUUGUCAUUCCCAUUUUGCACUUGAGGAGUGCGUGCCUCAGAGAGGUCACAGAACCACCUCGGCAUCACCUGGACAUGCAUUAGGAAUGCAGAGUCUCAGGCCCCACC